This 887-nucleotide ribosomal RNA is filed under the name uncultured bacterium. Its description in RNAcentral is "bacterial SSU rRNA". It matches the Rfam family "Bacterial small subunit ribosomal RNA", at positions 8 to 943 of the family's 1533-position model. The record is from RNAcentral.
AGAGUUUGAUCAUGGCUCAGAACGUACGCUGGCGGCACGCCUAAUACAUGCAAGUCGAACGGGGUAGCAAUACCUAGUGGCAGACGGGUGAGUAACGUGUGGGUAUCUUCCCUUUGGUGAGGAAUAACACGAGGAAACUUGUGCUAAUACCUCAUAAGUCUUUACAGAGAAAGCUUUAUGCGCCAAUGGAUGAGCCCGCACUUGAUUAGUUAGUUGGUAGGGUAAUGGCCUACCAAGACUUUGAUCAAUAGCUGAUUUGAGAGGAUGAUCAGCCACAUUGGGACUGAGACACGGCCCAAACUCCUACGGGAGGCAGCAGUAGGGAAUCUUGCACAAUGGAGGAAACUCUGAUGCAGCGAUGCCGCGUGAGUGAAGAAGGCCCUUGGGUUGUAAAGCUCUUUCGUCGGGGAAGAAAAUGACUGUACCCGAAUAAGAAGGUCCGGCUAGCUUCGUGCCAGCAGCCGCGGUAAUACGAAGGGACCUAGCGUAGUUCGGAAUUACUGGGCUUAAAGAGUUCGUAGGUGGUUAAAAAAGUUGGUGGUGAAAUCCCAGAGCUUAACUCUGGAACUGCCAUCAAAACUUUUUAGCUAGAGUAUGAUAGAGGAAAGCAGAAUUUCUAGUGUAGAGGUGAAAUUCGUAGAUAUUAGAAAGAAUACCAAUUGCGAAGGCAGCUUUCUGGAUCAUUACUGACACUGAGGAACGAAAGCAUGGGUAGCGAAGAGGAUUAGACACCCUCGUAGUCCAUGCCGUAAACGAUGUGUGUUAGAUGUUGGAAAUUUAUUUUCAGUAUCGCAGCGAAAGCGUUAAACACACCGCCUGGGGAGUACGACCGCAAGGUUAAAACUCAAAUGAAUUGACGGGGACCCGCACAAGUAGUGGAGCAUGUG